UACAGAGGGUGCAAGCGUUAAUCGGAAUUACUGGGCGUAAAGCGCGCGUAGGUGGUUCGUUAAGUUGGAUGUGAAAUCCCCGGGCUCAACCUGGGAACUGCAUUCAAAACUGUCGAGCUAGAGUAUGGUAGAGGGUGGUGGAAUUUCCUGUGUAGCGGUGAAAUGCGUAGAUAUCUGAAGGAACAUCAGUGGCGAAAGCGACUUCCUGGACCAAUACUGACGCUCAUGUGCGAAAGCGUGGGGAGCAAACAGG
Molecule: ribosomal RNA, 253 nt
Filed under: uncultured bacterium
Lineage: Bacteria
Description: partial 16S ribosomal RNA
Rfam family: Bacterial small subunit ribosomal RNA
Source: RNAcentral